GAUGGAAGAACGUAGCGAAAUGCGAUAAGUAAUGUGAAUUGCAGAAUUCAGUGAAUCAUCGAAUCUUUGAACGCACAUUGCGCCCGCUAGUAUUCUGGCGGGCAUGCCUGUUCGAGCGUCAUUUCAACCAUCAAGCCCUGUUUAGGCUUGCGUUGGGGCCCUGCGGCUGCCGCAGCCCCCUAAAUGCAGUGGCGGGCUCGUUGUCACUCCGAGCGCAGUAGCGUAUCUCGCUCUGGGCGUGGCGGCGGGUGCUAGCCGUGAAACACCCACUAAGGUUGACCUCGGAUCAGGUAGGAAUACCCGCUGAACUUAAGCAUAUCAAUAAGCGGAGGA
RNAcentral lists this unclassified non-coding RNA (333 nucleotides) under soil metagenome. RNAcentral describes it as "partial contains 5.8S ribosomal RNA, internal transcribed spacer 2, and large subunit ribosomal RNA". The stretch from base 5 to 121 matches the Rfam family "5.8S ribosomal RNA", at positions 38 to 154 of the family's 154-position model. The record is from RNAcentral.